GAGUGAACGCUGGCGGUAGGCCUAACACAUGCAAGUCGAACGGCAGCCCAGUAAGAGCUUGCUCUUACGGGUGGCGAGUGGCGGACGGGUGAGGAAUACAUCGGAAUCUACUUUUUCGUGGGGGAUAACGUAGGGAAACUUACGCUAAUACCGCAUACGACCUACGGGUGAAAGCAGGGGAUCUUCGGACCUUGCGCGAUUGAAUGAGCCGAUGUCGGAUUAGCUAGUUGGCGGGGUAAAGGCCCACCAAGGCGACGAUCCGUAGCUGGUCUGAGAGGAUGAUCAGCCACACUGGAACUGAGACACGGUCCAGACUCCUACGGGAGGCAGCAGUGGGGAAUAUUGGACAAUGGGCGCAAGCCUGAUCCAGCCAUACCGCGUGGGUGAAGAAGGCCUUCGGGUUGUAAAGCCCUUUUGUUGGGAAAGAAAAGCAGCAGGUUAAUACCCCGCUGUUCUGACGGUACCCAAAGAAUAAGCACCGGCUAACUUCGUG
Molecule: ribosomal RNA, 493 nt
Filed under: uncultured bacterium
Lineage: Bacteria
Description: partial 16S ribosomal RNA
Rfam family: Bacterial small subunit ribosomal RNA
Source: RNAcentral